This 456-nucleotide ribosomal RNA is filed under the name Pleosporales sp. Samif02. RNAcentral describes it as "eukaryotic LSU rRNA". The stretch from base 142 to 295 matches the Rfam family "5.8S ribosomal RNA". The record is from RNAcentral. Lineage: Eukaryota; Fungi; Ascomycota; Dothideomycetes; Pleosporales.
AGUCGGGGGCUGUAAAGCUCUCGUCUACACCCCAUGUCUUUUGCGUACUCUUGUUUCCUCGGUGGCGCAAGCUGCCGAUUGGACAAACCAAAACCUUUUUUGUAAUUGCAAUCAGCGUCUGAAAAUAAUCUAAUUAUUUACAACUUUCAACAACGGAUCUCUUGGUUCUGGCAUCGAUGAAGAACGCAGCGAAAUGCGAUAAGUAGUGUGAAUUGCAGAAUUCAGUGAAUCAUCGAAUCUUUGAACGCACAUUGCGCCCCUUGGUAUUCCAUGGGGCAUGCCUGUUCGAGCGUCAUUUGUACCCUCAAGCUUUGCUUGGUGUUGGGCGUCUUGUCGUAUUACGACUCGCCUUAAAUUCAUUGGCAGCCGGCACUUUGGCCUAGGAGCGCAGCACAUUUUGCGAUCGUAGCCCGUUGUACUGGCGUCCAUCAAGAACAUUUACCACGUUUGACCUCG